RNAcentral lists this small RNA (2129 nucleotides) under Pan troglodytes (chimpanzee). Its description in RNAcentral is "retained intron". The record is from RNAcentral. Lineage: Eukaryota; Metazoa; Chordata; Mammalia; Primates; Hominidae.
CUCUGAUGCCCUCCUCCCUUCGCCUCCUCAGUUGAAGAAGCUGGAUCUGGCAGCUGCGGCAGCACACACCUUCUUUGUAGCAAACCCCAUGCACCUGCAGAUGCGGGAGGACAUGGCUAAGUACAGACGAAUGUCGGGAGUUCGGCCCCAGAGCUUCCGGGACCUGGAGACGCCCCCACACUGGGCAGCCUAUGACACUGGCCUGGAGCUGCUGGGGCGCCAGGAGGCAAGACUGGCACUGCCCAGGCUAGAGGAGGCUCUUCAGGGGAGCCUGGCCCAGAUGGAGAGCUGCCGUGCUGACUGCGAGGGGCCUGAGGAGCAGCAGGGGGCUGAACAAGAGGAGGAUGGGGCUGCGAGCCAGGGGGGCCUCUAUGAGGCCAUUGCAGGACACUGGAUUCAGGUCCUGCAGUGCCGGCAACGCUGUGUGGGGGAAACAGCCACACGCCCUGGUCGCAGCUUCCCUGUCCCAGACUUCCUUCCCAACCAGCUGAGGCGGCUACAUGAGGCCCAUGCUCAGGUGGGCAAUCUGUCCCAGGCUAUAGAAAAUGUCCUGAGUGUCCUGCUCUUCUACCCGGAGGAUGAGGCUGCCAAGAGGGCUCUGAACCAGUACCAGGCCCAGCUGGGAGAGCCGAGACCUGGCCUCGGACCCAGAGAGGACAUCCAGCGCUUCAUUCUCCGAUCCCUGGGGGAGAAGAGGCAGCUCUACUAUGCCAUGGAGCACCUGGGGACCAGCUUCAAGGAUCCUGACCCCUGGACCCCUGCAGCUCUCAUCCCUGAGGCACUUAGAGAAAAGCUCAGAGAGGAUCAGGAGAAGAGGCCUUGGGACCAUGAGCCCGUGAAGCCAAAGCCCUUGACCUACUGGAAGGAUGUCCUUCUGCUGGAGGGUGUGACCUUGACCCAGGAUUCCAGGCAGCUGAAUGGGUCGGAGCGGGCGGUGUUGGAUGGGCUGCUCACCCCAGCCGAGUGUGGGGUGCUGCUGCAGCUGGCUAAGGAUGCAGCUGGGGCUGGAGCCAGGUCUGGCUAUCGUGGUCGCCGCUCCCCUCACACCCCCCAUGAACGCUUCGAGGGGCUCACAGUGCUUAAGGCUGCGCAGCUGGCCCGGGCUGGGACAGUGGGCAGUCAGGGUGCUAAGCUGCUUCUGGAGGUGAGCGAGCGGGUGCGGACCUUGACCCAGGCCUACUUCUCCCCGGAACGGCCCCUGCAUCUGUCCUUCACCCACCUGGUGUGCCGCAGCGCCAUAGAAGGAGAGCAAGAGCAGCGCAUGGACCUGAGUCACCCAGUGCACGCAGACAACUGCGUCCUGGACCCUGACACGGGAGAGUGCUGGCGGGAGCCCCCAGCCUACACCUAUCGGGACUACAGCGGACUCCUCUACCUCAACGAUGACUUCCAGGGUGGGGACCUGUUCUUCACGGAGCCCAACGCCCUCACUGUCACGGCUCGGGUGCGUCCUCGCUGUGGGCGCCUUGUGGCCUUCAGCUCCGGUGUCGAGAAUCCCCAUGGGGUGUGGGCCGUGACUCGGGGACGGCGCUGUGCCCUGGCACUGUGGCACACGUGGGCACCUGAGCACAGGGAGCAGGAGUGGAUAGAAGCCAAAGAACUGCUGCAGGAGUCACAGGAGGAGGAGGAAGAGGAAGAAGAAGAAAUGCCCAGCAAAGACCCUUCCCCAGAGCCCCCUAGCCACAGGCACCAGAGGGUCCAAGACAAGACUGGAAGGGCACCUCGGGUUCGGGAGGAGCUGUGAGUGGCUGAGCCAGCUCCUUGAGGAUGUGGCCACUUGACUUGUGGAAGGCCAUCUUGAUGCCAGGACGCACAGGAAGCCCCUGUGUGACAUCAGGAGCAGAACAGCAAGCUCUCUGUCCCUGCACCCCCACCAUCUUGGGGACCUACAAGGGCCUGGACUCAGAGGACAGUGCACAGGCUAGCCUGGAGCUCACCAGGCCUGGGGAGCUGGGACGGGGCCCCGCUGCCGGACCUGCAGCCCUGGACAGAUGGGGAACACUGUGCCUCCCUGAACGGAAAUGGCAGGGGAGGAGGCUGAUGCUUUAAAUGAAGAAGAUGGUGGGGUUGGGAGGUAUAACCCUGCUCCUCUCUCCCAGUCUGUGCAAUAAAGGUCGUGAAGAUCUCUC